This 301-nucleotide ribosomal RNA is filed under the name uncultured bacterium. RNAcentral's name for it is "partial 16S ribosomal RNA". It matches the Rfam family "Bacterial small subunit ribosomal RNA", at positions 509 to 807 of the family's 1533-position model. The record is from RNAcentral.
CAGUAGCCGCGGUAAUACGGAGGGAGCUAGCGUUGUUCGGAAUUACUGGGCGUAAAGCGCACGUAGGCGGCUUUGUAAGUCAGAGGUGAAAGCCUGGAGCUCAACUCCAGAACUGCCUUUGAGACUGCAUCGCUCGAAUCCGGGAGAGGUGAGUGGAAUUCCGAGUGUAGAGGUGAAAUUCGUAGAUAUUCGGAAGAACACCAGUGGCGAAGGCGGCUCACUGGACCGGUAUUGACGCUGAGGUGCGAAAGCGUGGGGAGCAAACAGGAUUAGAUACCCGAGUAGUCCCUGUCUCUUAUAC